RNAcentral lists this ribosomal RNA (490 nucleotides) under uncultured bacterium. Its description in RNAcentral is "partial 16S ribosomal RNA". It matches the Rfam family "Bacterial small subunit ribosomal RNA", at positions 30 to 507 of the family's 1533-position model. The record is from RNAcentral.
AUUGAACGCUGGCGGCAUGCCUUACACAUGCAAGUCGAACGGCAGCAUGAUCUAGCUUGCUCGAUUGAUGGCGAGUGGCGAACGGGUGAGUAAUACAUCGGAACGUGCCCUGUAGUGGGGGAUAACUAGUCGAAAGAUUAGCUAAUACCGCAUACGACCUGAGGGUGAAAGUGGGGGACCGCAAGGCCUCAUGCUAUAGGAGCGGCCGAUGUCUGAUUAGCUAGUUGGUGAGGUAAAGGCUCACCAAGGCGACGAUCAGUGGCUGGUCUGAGAGGACGAUCAGCCACACUGGGACUGAGACACGGCCCAGACUCCUACGGGAGGCAGCAGUGGGGAAUUUUGGACAAUGGGCGAAAGCCUGAUCCAGCAAUGCCGCGUGUGUGAAGAAGGCCUUCGGGUUGUAAAGCACUUUUGUCCGGAAAGAAAUGGCUCUGGUUAAUACCUGGGGUCGAUGACGGUACCGGAAGAAUAAGGACCGGCUAACUACGUG